GACGAACGCUGGCGGCGUGCUUAACACAUGCAAGUCGAACGGAAAGGCCCUGUCUUUGUGGGGUGAUCGAGUGGCGAACGGGUGAGUCACCCGUGCGUAACCUGCCCUUGACUUUGGGAUAACUUCAGGUAACUGGGUAUAAUACCGGAUAGGAGCUUCUGCUGCAUGGUGGGGGUUGGAAAGUUUCGGCGGUUGGGGAUGGACGGGCGGGUUAUCAGCUUGUUGGUGGGGUAGUGGCAGACCAAGGAAUUGACGGGUAGGCGGCAUGAGAGGGUGGCCGGGGACAAGGGGACUGAGGGAGGGCGCAGACGCCAACUGGAGACAGCAGUGGGAAGUAUUGCACAGUGGUCGGAAGUCUGAGACAACAGCGCUGCGGUCGUGAUGACGGCCUGCGAGGUGUAAACCGCUGUCGGCUGAUACGGAGCGUUAGUGACGGUAAUGGGUAAAUAAGCACCGGCUAACUACGUG
RNAcentral lists this ribosomal RNA (468 nucleotides) under uncultured bacterium. RNAcentral describes it as "partial 16S ribosomal RNA". It matches the Rfam family "Bacterial small subunit ribosomal RNA", at positions 28 to 507 of the family's 1533-position model. The record is from RNAcentral.